RNAcentral lists this ribosomal RNA (468 nucleotides) under uncultured bacterium. Its description in RNAcentral is "partial 16S ribosomal RNA". It matches the Rfam family "Bacterial small subunit ribosomal RNA", at positions 28 to 507 of the family's 1533-position model. The record is from RNAcentral.
GACGAACGCUGGCGGCGUGCUUAACACAUGCAAGUCGAACGGAAAGGCCCUGCUUUUGUGGGGUGCUCGAGUGGCGAACGGGUGAGUAACACGUGAGUAACCUGCCCUUGACUUUGGGAUAACUUCAGGAAACUGGGGCUAAUACCGGAUAGGAGCUCCUGCUGCAUGGUGGGGGUUGGAAAGUUUCGGCGGUUGGGGAUGGACUCGCGGCUUAUCAGCUUGUUGGUGGGGUAGUGGCUUACCAAGGCUGUGACGGGUAGCCGGCCUGAGAGGGUGACCGGCCACAUGGGGACUGAGAUACGGCGCAGACUCCUACGGGAGGCAGCAGUGGGGAGUAUUGCACAAUGGGCGGAAGCCUGAUGCAGCGACGCCGCGUGCGGGAUGACGGCCUUCGGGUUGUAAACCGCUUUCGCCUGUGACGAAGCGUGAGUGACGGUAAUGAGUAAAGAAGCACCGGCUAACUACGUG